This 253-nucleotide ribosomal RNA is filed under the name uncultured bacterium. Its description in RNAcentral is "partial 16S ribosomal RNA". It matches the Rfam family "Bacterial small subunit ribosomal RNA", at positions 524 to 776 of the family's 1533-position model. The record is from RNAcentral.
UACGUAGGGUGCAAGCGUUAAUCGGAAUUACUGGGCGUAAAGCGUGCGCAGGCGGUUAUGUAAGACAGGGGUGAAAUCCCCGGGCUUAACCUGGGAACUGCAUUUGUGACUGCAUAGCUAGAGUACGGUAGAGGGGGAUGGAAUUCCGCGUGUAGCAGUGAAAUGCGUAGAUAUGCGGAGGAACACCGAUGGCGAAGGCAAUCCCCUGGGCCUGCACUGACGCUCAUGCACGAAAGCGUGGGGAGCAAACAGG